RNAcentral lists this ribosomal RNA (396 nucleotides) under Stramenopiles sp. MAST-12B. RNAcentral's name for it is "partial small subunit ribosomal RNA". It matches the Rfam family "Eukaryotic small subunit ribosomal RNA", at positions 582 to 975 of the family's 1831-position model. The record is from RNAcentral.
AUUCCAGCUCCAAUAGCGUAUACUAAUGUUGUUGCAGUUAAAAAGCUCGUAGUUGGAUUUCUGGUUGUUUAGCUUAUGGUCCGUCUCUUUAUGGGUCGUGUACCGUUUUUGCUGACACCAUCUUAGUAGUGAGCCCUAUUGGCAUUAGGUUGUCGAUUGGAGGAGCUGCUUCGUUUACUGUGAUAACAAAUAGAGUGUUCAAAGCAGACAUUACGUCUUGAAUGCUUCAGCAUGGAAUAAAAGGAUAGGACUUCGGCACUAUUUUAUUGGUAUGUAUGCCUAGUAAUGAUUAAUAGGGAUAGUUGGGGGUAUUCAUAUUUGAUUGUCAGAGGUGAAAUUCUUGGAUUUAUGAAAGAUGAACUUAUGCGAAAGCAUUUAUCAAGGAUGUUUUCAUUA